This is a long non-coding RNA of Suricata suricatta (meerkat), 382 nucleotides long. RefSeq lists it as uncharacterized. The record is from RefSeq and is a predicted model, not a curated record. The transcript is spliced from 2 exons. Lineage: Eukaryota; Metazoa; Chordata; Mammalia; Carnivora; Herpestidae.
UGCUAGAUUAUGAAAAUGAAGAGUGCCAGCGUGAAUGUCUGAGGAAAUCAAGCUUCUCCAUGGGACCUGAUUAUUUCCCCUGGACAGUUGAUCCUAGCUCCAGCUACGUGUUGGUGCAGUGAAAUUUAAAUACGGAGAACAGGCUUGUACUGAUCAGAUAGGCAGAAAAGUCAGCAAUUUCCCAAAGAAGGUAUGAAGAAAAUAGCAGUGGUUGGAACACAUGCGAUGCCAUUGCCACAACAGACCCAAAGAUGGCAUCUUUUCCCAUGCCGGCCUGCUGGGUCAGAAGGACAAAGCGAGCCUGUGGAAGGACAAAGGAAGCCUGCAGUAGGACAGCGACACCUCCAUCACCUACUAAAUAAACGCAGCUAGAUCAAAAGUC